ACAGAGAGUAUACCGCCGAUGGCCGCUUGCGGCACAGGUAAGGGUGAAAGGGUGCGGUAAGAGCGCACCGCGUGGCUGGUAACAGUUCACGGCACGGUAAACUCCACCCGGAGCAAGGUCAAAUAGGGGUUCUUUGGCGCGGCCCGCGUUGAACCCGGGUAGACUGCUUGACGAUCAUGGCAACGUGAUCGCUAGAUGAAUGAUUGUCCACGACAGAACCCGGCUUAUCGGCGGGCUUCCCUC
This 243-nucleotide RNase P RNA is filed under the name Idiomarina sp. RNAcentral describes it as "partial RNase P RNA component class A". It matches the Rfam family "Bacterial RNase P class A", at positions 114 to 367 of the family's 367-position model. Rfam says of the family: Ribonuclease P (RNase P) is a ubiquitous endoribonuclease, found in archaea, bacteria and eukarya as well as chloroplasts and mitochondria. Its best characterised activity is the generation of mature 5'-ends of tRNAs by cleaving the 5'-leader elements of precursor-tRNAs. Cellular RNase Ps are ribonucleoproteins. Lineage: Bacteria; Pseudomonadati; Pseudomonadota; Gammaproteobacteria; Alteromonadales; Idiomarinaceae. The record is from RNAcentral.